ACGGAAGUCGUUAUAAAAAGGAUUGAAGAUUUAUCUGAUUGAGAUUUUAUAACAAUGGCUUUAGUGGCGGACUGGUGAGUAACGCGUGAGCAACCUGCCUACUAGAGGGGAAUAACAGUGAGAAAUCAUUGCUAAUACCGCAUAUGCCAUGAACAUCACAUGAUGAAAAUGGGAAAAGAGUAAUCUGCUAGUAGAUGGGCUCGCGUCUGAUUAGAUAGUUGGUGGGGUAACGGCCUACCAAGUCAACGAUCAGUAGCCGGACUGAGAGGUUGAACGGCCACAUUGGGACUGAGAUACGGCCCAGACUCCUACGGGAGGCAGCAGUCGGGAAUAUUGCGCAAUGGAGGAAACUCUGACGCAGUGACGCCGCGUAUAGGAAGAUUGUUUUCGGAUUGUAAACUAUUGUCGUUAGGGAAGAUACAAGACAGUACCUAAGGAGGAAGCUCCGGCUAACUACGUGCCAGCAGCCGCGGUAAUACGUAGGGAGCAAGCGUUAUCCGGAUUUAUUGGGUGUAAAGGGUGCGUAGACGGGACAACAAGUUAGUUGUGAAAUCCCUCGGCUUAACUGAGGAACUGCAACUAAAACUAUUGUUCUUGAGUGUUGGAGAGGAAAGUGGAAUUCCUAGUGUAGCGGUG
Molecule: ribosomal RNA, 636 nt
Filed under: uncultured bacterium
Lineage: Bacteria
Description: bacterial SSU rRNA
Rfam family: Bacterial small subunit ribosomal RNA
Source: RNAcentral